Molecule: RNA transcript, 1437 nt
Organism: Cercocebus atys (sooty mangabey)
Lineage: Eukaryota; Metazoa; Chordata; Mammalia; Primates; Cercopithecidae
Gene name: heterogeneous nuclear ribonucleoprotein H-like
Exons: 1
Source: RefSeq, a predicted model, not a curated record
GACACCAGACCAUGUAAGAGACAAUGAUGUUACGCACUGAAGGUAGAGAGGGAUAUAUGGUGAAGGUCCAUGGCCUGCCCUGGUCUUGCUCAGCCGAUUAAGUGCAGCAUUUUGGUUUUUUUUUUCUGACUGCAAAAUCCAAAAUGAGGCUCAAGGUAUUCAUUUCAUCUACACCAGAGAAGGCAGGCUGGGUGGCAAGGCUUUUGUUGAACUUGAAUCAGAAGAUGAAGUCAAAUUGGCCCUGAAAAAAAGACAGAGAAACUAUGGGACACAGUUUUGUUGAAGCAUUCAAGUCAAACAACAUUGAAAUGGAUUGGGUGUUGAAGCAUACUGGUCCAAAUAGUCCUGACAAGGCCAAUGAUGGCUUUGUACAGCUUAGAGGACUUUCCUUUGAAUGCAGCAAGGAAGAAAUUGCUCAGUUCUUCUCAAGGUUGGAAAUCGUGCCAAAUGGGUUAACAUCGCCGGUGGACUCCAGGGGAGGAGUACAGGGGAGGCCUUCGUGCAGUCUGCUUCACAGGAAAUAACUGAAAAGGCUCUCUAAAGAAACACAAGGAAAUAAUAGGGCACAAGUAUACUGAAAUCUUUAAGAGCAGCAGGGCUGAAGUUAGAACUCACUACAAUCCACCAUAAAAGCUUAUGGCCAUGCAGAGGCCAGGUCCCAUGAUAGACCUGGGUCUGGCAGAGGGUUUAACAGCAUUGGCAGAGGAGCUGGCUUUGAGAGGAUGAGGCAUGGUGCUUACUUAUAGUGAAGGAUAUAGAGCCAAUGAUAAUUAUAAUGGCUAUGGCUAUGGAUUUGGGUCAGAUAGAUUUGGAAGAGACCUCAAUUAUUGUUUUUCAGGAAUGUCUGCUCACAAAUAUGGGGAUGGUGGCUCUACUUUCCAGAGCACAACAGGACGCAGUGUACACGUGUGUGGAUUACCUUACAGAGCUACUGAGAAUGACAUUUGUAAUUUUUUUUCACUGUUCAAUCCUGUGAGGGUACACAUUGAAACUAGUCCUGAUGGCACAGUAACUGGUGAAGCAGAUGUUGAGUUUGCAACUCAUGAAGAUGCUGUGGCAGCUAUGUCAAAAGACAAAGCAAAUAUGCAACACAGCGAUGUAGAACCCUUCUUGAAUUCUACAGCAGGAGCCAGCAGUAGUGCUUACGGUAGCCAAAUGAUGGGGGGCAUGGGCUUGUCAAUCCAGUCCAGUUAUGGUGGCCCAGCCAGCCAGCAGCUGAGAGGUGGUUAUGGAGGUGGCUAUGGUGGCCACAGCAGCAUGAGUGGAUAUGACCAAGUUUUACAGGAAAACUUACGUGAUUUUCUCAGACAUUGCAUAAGCAGCCAAGGAGCAAUGAACAGCAGCUACUACAAUAAUGGAAGCUGUGCAUCUAUAGGCAUGAAUGGAAUGGGAGGGAUGUCUACCAUGUCCAUUAUGAGUGGUGGAUGGGGAAUAUAA